AUUGAACGCUGGCGGCAGGCCUAACACAUGCAAGUCGAACGGUAACAGGAAGAAGCUUGCUUCUUUGCUGACGAGUGGCGGACGGGUGAGUAAUGUCUGGGAAACUGCCUGAUGGAGGGGGAUAACUACUGGAAACGGUAGCUAAUACCGCAUAACGUCGCAAGACCAAAGAGGGGGACCUUCGGGCCUCUUGCCAUCGGAUGUGCCCAGAUGGGAUUAGCUAGUAGGUGGGGUAACGGCUCACCUAGGCGACGAUCCCUAGCUGGUCUGGAGAGAUGACCAGCCACACUGAAAAUGAGACACGGUCCAGACUCCGACGGGAGACAGAAGUGGGGAAUAUUGCACAAUGGGCGCAAGCCUGAUGCAGCCAUGCCGCGUGUAUGAAGAAGGCCUUCGGGUUGUAAAGUACUUUCAGCGGGGAGGAAGGGAGUAAAGUUAAUACCUUUGCUCAUUGACGUUACCCGCAGAAGAAGCACCGGCUAACUCCGUGCCAGCAGCCGCCGUAA
This 506-nucleotide ribosomal RNA is filed under the name uncultured bacterium. RNAcentral describes it as "partial 16S ribosomal RNA". It matches the Rfam family "Bacterial small subunit ribosomal RNA", at positions 30 to 523 of the family's 1533-position model. The record is from RNAcentral.